UUGCUCGCUUCGGCAGCACAUAUACUAAAAUUGGAACGAUACAGAGAAGAGUAGCAUGGCCCCUGCGCAAGGAAAUUAAAUUUAGAGAAGCAGCGUGGCUUAGU
Small nuclear RNA from Tachyglossus aculeatus (Australian echidna), 104 nucleotides. NCBI's taxonomy places the organism in Eukaryota, Metazoa, Chordata, Mammalia, Monotremata, Tachyglossidae. The record is from RefSeq and is a predicted model, not a curated record.